AGUGAACGCUGGCGGUAGGCCUAACACAUGCAAGUCGAACGGCAGCACAGUAAGAGCUUGCUCUUACGGGUGGCGAGUGGCGGACGGGUGAGGAAUACAUCGGAAUCUACUUUUUCGUGGGGGAUAACGUAGGGAAACUUACGCUAAUACCGCAUACGACCUACGGGUGAAAGCAGGGGAUCUUCGGACCUUGCGCGAUUGAAUGAGCCGAUGUCGGAUUAGCUAGUUGGCGGGGUAAAGGCCCACCAAGGCGACGAUCCGUAGCUGGUCUGAGAGGAUGAUCAGCCACACUGGAACUGAGGAACGGUCCAGAAUCCUACGGGAGGCAGCAGUGGGGAAUAUUGGCCAAUGGGCGCAAGCCUGAUCCAGCCAUACCGCGUGGGUGAAGAAGGCCUUCGGGUUGUAAAGCCCUUUUGUUGGGAAAGAAAAGCAGCAGGUUAAUACCCCGCUGUUCUGACGGUACCCAAAGAAUAAGCACCGGCUAACUUCGUG
RNAcentral lists this ribosomal RNA (492 nucleotides) under uncultured bacterium. RNAcentral's name for it is "partial 16S ribosomal RNA". It matches the Rfam family "Bacterial small subunit ribosomal RNA", at positions 29 to 507 of the family's 1533-position model. The record is from RNAcentral.